GGGGGUAGUUGUGCACCUGGUGGGCGCCUUGGACUUCAAAUCCAAUGAUGGGCUGACGAGGCCCAUGGUGGGUUCGAUUCCCAUCUACUCCCGCCA
This 96-nucleotide transfer RNA is filed under the name Bacillota bacterium. RNAcentral describes it as "Firmicutes bacterium (anaerobic digester metagenome) tRNA-Sec". It matches the Rfam family "Selenocysteine transfer RNA". RNAcentral also lists the same sequence under 1 other name. Lineage: Bacteria; Bacillati; Bacillota. The record is from RNAcentral.